GCUAUGCAGUAAGGCUGUGUAAACAUUAAGAGAAAUUCUGAUUCACAGCUUCAUCUUCAGGAGUAAUUUCUUAUACAGUAUGACCUCCCACCACCCUUGAGAAAUGUAAAAAUCUCCAGGAAAUUGGCCACAUAGCUUUAUAAGGAAGAACAAGAACACAGGAAGAUUACACCUCACUUCUGAUCUGGGUCCAGAGCAAUGGAGCCAGCUGACCAUGAACUGAAAUCUCGAAACCUGGUCAAAAAAGCCUAUCACAGCACCUGAUGUCUCCUAAAUUCUCAAAAGAAAAUGGAAAUUGUGCCAAAUGAAUGAGCAGCCACUGUGUGCGGAUGUUGUGGGAACAGGAGCUGCUGGUGUUUGGAACUGUGAAUGAACAGUUUUGUGGAACAUUUCAACUGCUGAUCUUGUCAGAUGUGCUUACAUGUUAGUAUUGUGAAAACAUUUUAAAGGCUGAUACUGCCAAAUGCAUUGAGGAACCACUGUGAAGGCUGACAUUGUCAAAUGGGGUGUCAAAUAUGUUUAUAUGAAAACAAUGUCACAGCAAUGUGUGUGACAUAUGGAUCUAUAUUAGAGCUACUGUACCAAAGGACAAGGUUAAAGCAAAGCGUGGUCCAAAUAAAACUCAAAGGUUUA
Molecule: non-coding RNA, 633 nt
Organism: Ictidomys tridecemlineatus (thirteen-lined ground squirrel)
Lineage: Eukaryota; Metazoa; Chordata; Mammalia; Rodentia; Sciuridae
Source: RefSeq, a predicted model, not a curated record